RNAcentral lists this ribosomal RNA (494 nucleotides) under uncultured bacterium. RNAcentral's name for it is "partial 16S ribosomal RNA". It matches the Rfam family "Bacterial small subunit ribosomal RNA", at positions 28 to 507 of the family's 1533-position model. The record is from RNAcentral.
GACGAACGCUGGCGGCGUGCUUAACACAUGCAAGUCGAACGGAAAGGCCUGCUUUCCCUUGUGGAUUGCGGGUACUCGAGUGGCGAACGGGUGAGUAACACGUGAGUGAUCUGCCCCCAACUUGGGUAUAAGCCUGGGAAACUGGGUCUAAUUCCCGAUAGGACUGCAGGGUGGUUCCUGUGGUGGAAAACGAUUUUCUAGUGGUUGGGGAUGAGCUCGCGGCCUAUCAGCUUGUUGGUGGGGUAAUGGCCUACCAAGGCGGCGACGGGUAGCCGGCCUGGGAGGGUGGACGGCCACAUUGGGACUGAGAUACGGCCCAGACUCCUACGGGAGGCAGCAGUGGGGAAUAUUGCACAAUGGGCGGAAGCCUGAUGCAGCGACGCCGCGUGGGGGAUGACGGCCUUCGGGUUGUAAACUCCUUUCGACCGCGAGGAAGCCACCUGGUUGGAAGGGUGGUGACGGUAGUGGUAGAAGAAGCACCGGCUAACUACGUG